AGUGAACGCUGGCGGUAGGCCUAACACAUGCAAGUCGAACGGCAGCACAGUAAGAGCUUGCUCUUACGGGUGGCGAGUGGCGGACGGGUGAGGAAUACAUCGGAAUCUACUUUUUCGUGGGGGAUAACGUAGGGAAACUUACGCUAAUACCGCAUACGACCUACGGGUGAAAGCAGGGGAUCUUCGGACCUUGCGCGAUUGAAUGAGCCGAUGUCGGAUUAGCUAGUUGGCGGGGUAAAGGCCCACCAAGGCGACGAUCCGUAGCUGGUCUGAGAGGAUGGUCAGCCACACUGGAACUGAGACACGGUCCAGACUCCUACGGGAGGCAGCAGUGGGGAAUAUUAGACAAUGGGCGCAAGCCUGAUCCAGCCAUACCGCGUGGGUGAAGAAGGCCUUCUGGUUGUAAAGCCCUUUUGUUGGGAAAGAAAAGCAGCAGGUUAAUACCCCGCUGUUCUGACGGUACCCAAAGAAUAAGCACCGGCUAACUUCGUG
This 492-nucleotide ribosomal RNA is filed under the name uncultured bacterium. RNAcentral describes it as "partial 16S ribosomal RNA". It matches the Rfam family "Bacterial small subunit ribosomal RNA", at positions 29 to 507 of the family's 1533-position model. The record is from RNAcentral.